RNAcentral lists this ribosomal RNA (328 nucleotides) under uncultured bacterium. RNAcentral describes it as "bacterial SSU rRNA". It matches the Rfam family "Bacterial small subunit ribosomal RNA", at positions 28 to 334 of the family's 1533-position model. The record is from RNAcentral.
GACGAACGCUGGCGGCGUGCCUAAUACAUGCAAGUCGAACGCUUCUUUCCUCCCGAGUGCUUGCACUCAAUUGGAAAGAGGAGUGGCGGACGGGUGAGUAACACGUGGGUAACCUACCCAUCAGAGGGGGAUAACACUUGGAAACAGGUGCUAAUACCGCAUAACAGUUUAUGCCGCAUGGCAUAAGAGUGAAAGGCGCUUUCGGGUGUCGCUGAUGGAUGGACCCGCGGUGCAUUAGCUAGUUGGUGAGGUAACGGCUCACCAAGGCCGCGAUGCAUAGCCGGUCUGAGAGGAUGGACGGCCACACUGGGGCUGAGACACGACCCAG